UCCCUUGUGGCUCAGAGGUUAAAGUGUUUGCCUGCAAGGCGGGAGACCCGGGUUCAAUUCCUGGGUUGGGAA
RNAcentral lists this transfer RNA (72 nucleotides) under Ovis aries (sheep). It matches the Rfam family "tRNA". Rfam says of the family: Transfer RNA (tRNA) molecules are approximately 80 nucleotides in length. The record is from Rfam by way of RNAcentral. Lineage: Eukaryota; Metazoa; Chordata; Mammalia; Artiodactyla; Bovidae.